AGGAUUGAGGAGUUGGAAGAGACCUUUAGAACAGCUGGUCAUUAUGCCGACCGGGUGCCUGCACUAAGUUCGGCAUCAAUAUGGCGACCUCCUGGGAGCGGGGGGCCACCAAGUUGCCUAAGGAUGGCUGAACUGGCCCAGGUCAGAAACGGAGCAGGUCAGAAUUCCUGCACUGACCAGUAGUGGGACUGUGCCUGGGCGGUAUAGCAAGAUCUUGGUUCUU
RNAcentral lists this small RNA (223 nucleotides) under Theropithecus gelada (gelada). RNAcentral's name for it is "Metazoan signal recognition particle RNA (ENSTGEG00000022848.1)". The stretch from base 45 to 201 matches the Rfam family "Metazoan signal recognition particle RNA", at positions 96 to 252 of the family's 299-position model. From Rfam's summary of the family: The signal recognition particle (SRP) is a universally conserved ribonucleoprotein. Lineage: Eukaryota; Metazoa; Chordata; Mammalia; Primates; Cercopithecidae. The record is from RNAcentral.